RNA transcript from Acanthopagrus latus (yellowfin seabream), 1824 nucleotides. It is a transcript of the gene named store-operated calcium entry-associated regulatory factor, with no coding region annotated. The transcript is spliced from 8 exons. Lineage: Eukaryota; Metazoa; Chordata; Actinopteri; Spariformes; Sparidae. The record is from RefSeq and is a predicted model, not a curated record.
GAGUCCUGCCCUCUUUAGGACUCUAGCUUGUGUGUCUCGCUCAACACAAUUCAAACGUAACGCCGACAAUUUAUUAUAUGCUUUAAUCAUUUGUUGAGAGAAGCAACGACUGUGGAGAGAAAUUGUAGCAAUACAAAGCAAAGUCAUGAAACAGCUGUUUAUAGUUAUAUUGCAGUUCCUGUUGCUCGUACACACCAGGAGUUGGGAUGACGGCAGUGUACUGCUGCAGGAUGUCCAGGUGUUAACUCUGUACAAGGGACGCUACACCACAGCGAGGCGCUCCCGCCCUGUUUCUCAGCUUCAGUGUGUUGGAGGCUCCGCAGGCUGCCACUCCUUCACCCCGGAGGUAGUCCAGUGUCAGAAUAAAGGCUGGGAUGGAGUGGAUGUACAGUGGGAGUGUAAAACUGAUAUGGACAACAAAUACAGAUUUGGUCGCAUUGAGGUGAGCUGUGAAGGCUACAGUAACCCUGACGAUGCCUACAUACUGAAGGGCUCCUGUGGGCUGGAGUACACAUUGGAACUGACUGAAGAGGGCCGGAGUAGGACUCAAGGCAGUUGGGGUUCCCAGAGUGGAUUUAAGGGAUUUGGAGGUCUUGGAGACUUUGCCUCCAGUUUUUUCAGUGGUUCCGCUGGAAAGAAGCAUCAACAUCACCAGCACCACCAGCAGAGCACGUACCCAUCAGGUGGCGAGGACUCAGGAGGCCUGCUGGUGGUUGCUGUGCUUCUGCUCUUAGCCUACGGCGUCUACAAGCUGUUCCUCAGCGGAAACACGGCCCAGCAGGGACAGGACAAUGGACAGGCUGGUUACCCCAGAGAUAAUCACUACGGCUCCAAUGCAGGACCUCCACCCCCAGGAUUCAAACCUGAUUACACAGGCUAUUCUGGUGCCAACCCUGGCUACGGUUUCCACAGUGACUACACACAUGGACAACAGUACCCAAGAGGACAAGCUUCUCCUGGCACAGGCAGUGGCUUCUGGACCGGCAUGGGGACGGGUGGGGUGCUGGGAUAUCUUUUUGGUCGUCAGAGGUUGUUUGUGCUGUUUUUGUUUUCUAGUAAGCCCCACAACUUCAACUCAUCCAAUUACAGUGUCAGCAGAGCUCCUCCUGCUGGAGACCACUCUUCUUCCUCUGGGACACGCACUGCUUCAGGUGGAGUUGGCCUUUAUAUUUGGUAAAGGGUGGUUCUUCCUUGGCAAUGAAAAAGGCUGUGUUAAAUGUCAAUAAUAAUUUGGCCUCAGCACACUGAUUAACAGCCUCUUGCCUUCUAAAUGCAACUGAUAGUGGAGUUGCAUUUUCAUUGGAGCACAGGUUUUGGAGGAACCAAGAGAAGAUAGGAGCGUUGGAGGUGGACAGAUUCUCAACAAUGGAUGGCACUGACAAGAGUUCAAAAAGGAUGCAGUACUAACAGCGAAGGUGAAAAGACCCUGUCUUUGCACUGAGAUGAACCUGUCCAAUACUAACAUCAUUGCUCAGUUCUCCUCCUGAGGUCACUUUGAUGUCAGCUACUGACAGAAAGUACUUGUUUUUCUGUGAACAUGUGGUUUGAGCUUGAGUCUGGAGGCCCCAUUUUUGAAGAACGUUGUAUGAAGGCUGUCCAGUUUUUCAUUGGUUUAGUCAGACUUUUUAGCUAGGAUAAACAUAUUUCCAGUGGGAAUCCACUCUAUACAUUUUACUCAUGGUCCUAUAGAGGGGAUAUUAUCUCUGUUCUUUCUGAAGCCUCUUCUCCAUGGACCAGUUAAUCUGGUCAGUGCUUUAAUUGCCUUCACCUGCAGGCCCAAACUGUGCUCUCUGUAUCAUUGAAUAAACUCAGUUUAUAUGUGCA